AGAGUUUGAUCAUGGCUCAGAUUGAACGCUGGCGGCGUGCCUAACACAUGCAAGUCGAGCGGUAACAGGUGUAGCAAUACAUGCUGACGAGCGGCGAACGGGUGAGUAAUGCUUCGGAAUCUACCCUAUGGUGGGGAAUAACCAGCCGAAAGGUUGGCUAAUACCGCAUACGUCCUACGGGAGAAAGCAGGGGAUCGCAAGACCUUGCGCCGAUGGAUGAGCCGAAGUCGGAUUAGCUAGUUGGUGAGGUAACGGCUCACCAAGGCGACGAUCCGUAGCUGGUCUGAGAGGACGACCAGCCACACUGGGACUGAGACACGGCCCAGACUCCUACGGGAGGCAGCAGUGGGGAAUAUUGGACAAUGGGGGCAACCCUGAUCCAGCGACGCCGCGUGUGUGAAGAAGGCCUGCGGGUUGUAAAGCACUUUUAGUGGGGAUGAAAUGUGCAGGGUUAACACCUCUGCAUUUUGACCUAACCCACAGAAAAAGCACCGGCUAACUCUGUGCCAGCAGCCGCGGUAAUACAGAGGGUGCAAGCGUUAAUCGGAAUUACUGGGCGUAAAGCGUGCGCAGACGGUUGCGUAAGUCAGAUGUGAAAGCCCCGGGCUCAACCUGGGAAUUGCAUUUGAGACUGCGUAGCUAGGGUGCGGAAGAGGGAAGCGGAAUUUCCGGUGUAGCGGUGAAAUGCGUAGAUAUCGGAAGGAACACCAGUGGCGAAAGCGGCUUCCUGGUCCAGCACCGACGUUCAGGCACGAAAGCGUGGGGAGCAAACAGGAUUAGAUACCCNNGUAGUCC
This 795-nucleotide ribosomal RNA is filed under the name uncultured bacterium. RNAcentral describes it as "bacterial SSU rRNA". It matches the Rfam family "Bacterial small subunit ribosomal RNA", at positions 8 to 796 of the family's 1533-position model. The record is from RNAcentral.